AGCGGCUCGAGGAUAUGAGCAAUCCGCCGCGAGUCCACGUGCACGUUUUCUGUUUAAGCCUCGCAAAUCUGCAAGAUCCAGAGUAACAUAACACUUUGGCUCGAGGGAUUUAUUCCUCCAUCCAUCAGGAAUGUGGCAGAUGUUUAUCUAAAGUGCAUACGGGGAGGUGUACCGUGCCCUCUGACACGUGCAACCGAUGGCAUCCCGGCGCGUCUCGCCAAAAGUGCAAGUAUCCAUCCUUCUCCAGCGCCUCCGGUUGACUGUGUGUGCGUGUGUGUCACCACGGCGACGCACCGAGGCUCCGGUUAAUUAACCCGGAGGAGUGUUGCCACUUCUCGUCCGUUUUUACAUGUUUUCCUAACAGCUUGUUGGUGUGAAGGCUGUCGCCGAUGGACUGUCUCGCCUCCGUAGUCGGCGUAGCGUCACUGCAUUUAUGCUCACGGCUCUGGCUGUCCACCUCGGUCGGGCAGGAGAGACGCCGCGUCCCUCCUUCCUCAGACCACGUGCACUCACGUUGCCACGGACGACGACUCGAAACCCGCCAGGAAACCAGCACAUGAGGAGGAAACCGAGGCGGGUGGUGGCUGAUGGGACCCGUCCUCGUCUCCAUGGAGAUGUCGCCACGCGCAAACAGAAGGGGAGCUGCCGGCGGACUCGAAAAACAACUUCUGAGAAGGAACCCAGUGUGACAGCUUGGACCCGCGUUCUACAGCCACACACUUCUGCCUAAUAAUAAAGCCUCUCCAGUGUCAGAGAGGAUGAAAUCUUCACAACGCCCCCUCACUAUGAAGCUGUGCAAACAAAGCACUGGCUUGCCAGAAGCCAGGCGGAAAAAAACCCCCAUUAAUUCAACUUUUUCAAAUUUGAGCCUUGAUAUGCACACGCAAGGGAUGAUUAAUCAAUAUUUAGAAAUGUGGCAUGAAUAAGGAAAACAAGCUUAAUUAUUAGUCACCCAAAAUAAUUUCUUUGAAGUUUGUCUUCUCCAUGAUUGUUGUAAUUUAACAACCUAAAUUCCAGGUAAAUAAAAUGCAGCUUGGUUAAUGUUCUCCACAGAUCCCUUUCUAACCACGUACCCACCUUCACGCAACACCCACAUCAGCUCGUCCACGAUCUGACCCGUCUGUCUGUCCUAAAUCCCGUCCACCACAAAGACGAGGAGACACCUUCCAUACCACCGAUGCAGCGGACACGUGAAACGCGGAGGAGGAGCAAAGAGCGCGAAAACACUGGCGAGUGCAUCUACCAGCAGUCAACAGCGGUUACUGCAGACGUGACGCCGGUUCCACCAAACCUCACCUGACAACACGGCGUUCAGGCGGGAGAACGCGGCGUUUUCAGCCCUCAGAGUUCUCCCAUGAGCCCCGGGGGGGGGAGGGGGCAGAACGUCGUUACGGCCUGAGCAGAAACUCCGGCGCCGACAGCUGACAGACCGGCCGGAGCAGCAGAGCAGGACGUGUCUCCGGGUACAGCGAGAGGUACUCGACCCUCCCAGGGCGCGUUACUGCAGCGCACAAUAAGUCCGCUCAUGUCUCACCUGUCGCCUCGUAAUGAGCGUGGGAGGAAAGCUCCAGACCUUCUUCUCUAGAGGGUCGAGAUGUGACGGAUGGGAGCGUCCAGCCUCUCACAGCGUUGUGCUGAACCAGACGUGACUGGGAUCUUAAGCGUUACUUCUCUGGACUCAGUUGUGAUGGCUGCGUGUUAGAUGUGACAAUUACAAGCAGAACUUUAUAUGAAAUAGAUGAACUGUGGGUUAAAACAGUGAAACUAGGCGCUGGUCUGAGGACCAGGCCUCGUCUGUCAUCCACCCGAGCAGGUGGGAGGGAUGUCGGAACAGCACAGUAUCACUGAUCCAGGUUCUUAUGAACAAAAAAAUGAUUGAUCGCAAGACUGUGCAAAAGUUUAAUUAAAGAACAAUGUCACAUUCUGACUAAUGGCCUGUCUGAUGAAACCAUCUGCUUCGUGUCUAUUCAUUAACUUAGUUUAUUCAUAAUAACAAGCGUAUUCAAUUUUUUGUGGUCUUUUAUAUACUUUUUGUUCUAGUUUUGACACGUUCCGUUCUGUCGUCUUAUCUUAUUCAUUCCUUUUGAGGUUUGAAUCUUUAAUAAAAAAGGUCUCAUCUUCUCUGUCCUACACAUUGCAUAUUUUCUCGUCUGACUUGCUUUGAUCUUUUCUUUCUGUGCUUAUGAAUAAAUGCAUAUUAUAAAGCACGAGACAACAAGUACAACAUUUCUCAGUUUUAAUGUGUUUGAUGUUUGAUUGGUUGCCGACAUAAAUCCCGCCCAGAUCUCCACUAUUCCUGCCAGUUCACUUUGCAUUUCAAAAUGAGCUACCGCUAAAAGCUAAAAACUCCCUUUGCAUUUUUGAUGGGAAUGUGUACUUUGGGUGUUGGAUGUGGAUGUUAGCAAACUCCUCUCUGGUCCUCGUAAUACGUUUUCUUCUUACUCUCCCUUCGUGCCGCCUGCCAAGCGGCACCGUUGCAUCUUUCACUAGAGCAAAGUGUGUGCAGAACAGCCGAAUGGGAGACCGGCAUCGCUAUUUAAACUGUGAAAAACCCCAGAGGCAGGAUCAGCGUUCAGCAAAGUUCCAUCAGGUCCGUAUAUCAAAGAGCUGAGCGUCGCCGCUCGGGUUUACACUCAAAACUAAAUGAUGGUUUCUGCCGCUGUGAUGCUGUUUAUCCUUAAGGAUCAAGUGACUGCCAUCUAUUAGCUGCCACAUUAAUAUAGAACCUUAUUUAGAAUCUUUUACUGGACGUCUAAUUAACACAAUCACAUUACUGGACAUUAGCUCAGUCGCUGGUAAGCUGCCAUUUUCUACACAACUCACAUGAGACGUUUCGUCUGUCACAGGAAUUUUUAAUUACAUCAUUAUCUCGGC
Long non-coding RNA from Gasterosteus aculeatus aculeatus (three-spined stickleback), 2874 nucleotides. The record is from Ensembl. Lineage: Eukaryota; Metazoa; Chordata; Actinopteri; Perciformes; Gasterosteidae.